This 338-nucleotide unclassified non-coding RNA is filed under the name soil metagenome. RNAcentral's name for it is "partial contains 5.8S ribosomal RNA, internal transcribed spacer 2, and large subunit ribosomal RNA". The stretch from base 1 to 120 matches the Rfam family "5.8S ribosomal RNA", at positions 35 to 154 of the family's 154-position model. The record is from RNAcentral.
GAUGAAGAACGCAGCGAAAUGCGAUACGUAGUGUGAAUUGCAGAAUUCAGUGAAUCAUCGAAUCUUUGAACGCACAUUGCACCUCUCGGUAUUCCGGGAGGUAUGCCUGUUCGAGCGUCAUUUGUACCCUCAAGCUCUGCUUGGUGUUGGGUGUUUGUUCCGCCUCUGUGUGUGAACUUGCCUCAAAACAAUUGGCAGCCGGCGUACUUGUUUCGGAGCGCAGCACAUUUUGCGAUCCAGAUCAACGUACAGCGGCAUCCAAGAAGCCUUAUUUAACGCUCUUGACCUCGGAUCAGGUAGGGAUACCCGCUGAACUUAAGCAUAUCAAUAAGCGGAGG